AAGGAUUUAAGUUAGUUAAACUAUUAACCUUCAAAGUUGAAAAAAGAUUAUUCUAAGCCUUA
This 62-nucleotide transfer RNA is filed under the name Cucujoidea sp. 42 KM-2017. RNAcentral describes it as "tRNA-Trp". The record is from RNAcentral. Lineage: Eukaryota; Metazoa; Arthropoda; Insecta; Coleoptera.